GCGGCGGACGGGUGAGUAAUGCCUAGGAAUCUGCCUGGUAGUGGGGGACAACGUUUCGAAAGGAACGCUAAUACCGCAUACGUCCUACGGGAGAAAGUGGGGGAUCUUCGGACCUCACGCUAUCAGAUGAGCCUAGGUCGGAUUAGCUAGUUGGCGAGGUAAAGGCUCACCAAGGCGACGAUCCGUAACUGGUCUGAGAGGAUGAUCAGUCACACUGGAACUGAGACACGGUCCAGACUCCUACGGGAGGCAGCAGUGGGGAAUAUUGGACAAUGGGCGAAAGCCUGAUCCAGCCAUGCCGCGUGUGUGAAGAAGGUCUUCGGAUUGUAAAGCACUUUAAGUUGGGAGGAAGGGCAGUAAGUUAAUACCUUGCUGUUUUGACGUUACCGACAGAAUAAGCACCGGCUAACUUCGUGCCAGCAGCCGCGGUAAUACGAAGGGUGCAAGCGUUAAUCGGAAUUACUGGGCGUAAAGCGCGCGUAGGUGGUUCGUUAAGUUGGAUGUGAAAGCCCCGGGCUCAACCUGGGAACUGCAUCCAAAACUGGCGAGCUAGAGUAUGGCAGAGGGUGGUGGAAUUUCCUGUGUAGCGGCGAAAUGCGUAGAUAUAGGAAGGAACACCAGUGGCGAAGGCGACCACCUGGGCUAAUACUGACACUGAGGUGCGAAAGCGUGGGGAGCAAACAGG
This 685-nucleotide ribosomal RNA is filed under the name Pseudomonas sp. RNAcentral describes it as "bacterial SSU rRNA". It matches the Rfam family "Bacterial small subunit ribosomal RNA", at positions 95 to 776 of the family's 1533-position model. Lineage: Bacteria; Pseudomonadati; Pseudomonadota; Gammaproteobacteria; Pseudomonadales; Pseudomonadaceae. The record is from RNAcentral.